RNAcentral lists this unclassified non-coding RNA (396 nucleotides) under fungal sp. Its description in RNAcentral is "partial internal transcribed spacer region". The stretch from base 1 to 46 matches the Rfam family "Eukaryotic small subunit ribosomal RNA", at positions 1786 to 1831 of the family's 1831-position model. Lineage: Eukaryota; Fungi. The record is from RNAcentral.
AAUUCGUAACAAGGUUUCCGUAGGUGAACCUGCGGAAGGAUCAUUAACACACCCCCCCCGUGAACUUUCAAUCCUGCUCUUGUAACCCGCGUAGUUCGCAAUCUCUGGUAAAUCAUAGCCCGGAAAGUUGUUUUGAUCAGAGACCUGAGAACAUUGGAACAGUUACAAUCGAGCGGUAGUUUCAUAGGCAUUGUUUCCCCAAGCAGUCAGUGUCGGAAAGUGUCACUGAUUGUGCAAGGAUAGCGCUUCACGAUUCCUGUAGACCGUACACUCGGGCAGGAGCUAUGCCAAAGGGUCCCCAUGCCCCCUUAUAACCCCACAGUUUAAUGUAAAGCUCAAUGUAAUACAUUGGGUAAAAAAACCGAACAACUGUUAACAAUGGAUAUCUUGGUUCUC